AGUGAGGGCAUGGGUGCUAAGGUCCAUGUCCGAGAGGGAAAGAACCCAGAUCAUCAGCUAAGGUCCCCAAGUGUAUGCUAAGUUGACAAAACGCGGUAAAACUGCAUUGACAGCCAGGAUGUUGGCUUGGAAGCAGCCAUUCAUUUAAAGAGUGCGUAACAGCUCACUGGUCGAGCGGUUUUGCAUGGAUAAUAAUCGGGCAUAAGUAUACCACCGAAGCUAUGACUUUGUCUUAUGACAAGGGGUAGGGGAGCAUUCUAUGGGCAUUGAAGGUGCUGGCGUGAGCCGUGCUGGAGCGCAUAGAAACGAAAAUGUAGGCAUAAGUAACGAUAAUGCGGGCGAGAAACCCGCACGCCGAAAGACCAAGGUUUCCCCAGCUAUGCUAAUCAGCUGGGGGUCAGUCGGGACCUAACGCGAACCCGAACGGGGUAGUGGAUGGACAAUCAGUUAAUAUUCUGAUACCUGCUCACAUUAAAAGUGACGGGGAUGAGGCGUUGGUGCGAAGAGACGGAAUUCUUCGUUGAAGGUAGCGGAAGCUACUGAUAGUACACUGAGGCUUCGGCCAAGGUGAUAAUCCAGCUUAUCAUCCUCCAAGAAAAACAAGUGAAGCAGCCCGUACCGUAAACCGACACAGGUGGUUGGGAUGAGUAUUCUAAGGCGCUCGAGAGAUUCAUGGCUAAGGAACUAGGCAAAAUAGACCCGUAACUUCGGGAGAAGGGUCGCCCCCUUAUGGGGGGCCGCAGUGAAGAGGUCCAGGCGACUGUUUAUCAAAAACACAGGGCUCUGCUAAAUCGAAAGAUGACGUAUAGGGCCUGACACCUGCCCGGUGCUGGAAGGUUAAGAGGAGAUGUUAUUUUUCGGAAGAAGCAUUGAAUUGAAGCCCCAGUAAACGGCGGCCGUAACUAUAACGGUCCUAAGGUAGCGAAAUUCCUUGUCGGGUAAGUUCCGACCUGCACGAAUGGUGCAACGAUCUGGACACUGUCUCGGCCAUGAGCUCGGUGAAAUUGUAGUAACGGUGAAGAUGCCGUUUACCCGCAGUGGGACGAAAAGACCCCGUGCACCUUUACUAUAGCUUCGUAUUGACCCUGGAUAAGUAAUGUGUAGGAUAGCUAGGAGACUUUGAAGCGGCGUCGCCAGGCGUUGUGGAGUCAUUGUUGAAAUACUAGCCUUUGCUUAUUUGGGGCCUAACUCUCGAGAGAGAGAACAGUGCGUGGUGGGUAGUUUGACUGGGGUGGUCGCCUCCAAAAGAGUAACGGAGGCUUCUAA
RNAcentral lists this ribosomal RNA (1266 nucleotides) under marine metagenome. RNAcentral describes it as "bacterial LSU rRNA". It matches the Rfam family "Bacterial large subunit ribosomal RNA", at positions 982 to 2313 of the family's 2925-position model. The record is from RNAcentral.